Molecule: ribosomal RNA, 451 nt
Filed under: uncultured bacterium
Lineage: Bacteria
Description: bacterial SSU rRNA
Rfam family: Bacterial small subunit ribosomal RNA
Source: RNAcentral
GUGGGGAAUAUUGGACAAUGGGGGGAACCCUGAUCCAGCCAUGCCGCGUGUGUGAAGAAGGCCUUUUGGUUGUAAAGCACUUUAAGCGAGGAGGAGGCUACCGAGAUUAAUACUCUUGGAUAGUGGACGUUACUUGCAGAAUAAGCACCUGCUAACUCUGUGCCAGCAGCCGCGGUAAUACAGAGGGUGCAAGCGUUAAUCGGAUUUACUGGGCGUAAAGCGCGCGUAGGUGGCCAAUUAAGUCAAAUGUGAAAUCCCCGAGCUUAACUUGGGAAUUGCAUUCGAUACUGGUUGGCUAGAGUAUGGGAGAGGAUGGUAGAAUUCCAGGUGUAGCGGUGAAAUGCGUAGAGAUCUGGAGGAAUACCGAUGGCGAAGGCAGCCAUCUGGCCUAAUACUGACACUGAGGUGCGAAAGCAUGGGGAGCAAACAGGAUUAGAAACCCCUGUAGUCC